GGCGGCGUGCUUAACACAUGCAAGUCGAACGACUCUUUUAUGGAAUGCGAUUUCGGUCAAAUGAAAUUAAAGCUUAGUGGCGGACGGGUGAGUAACGCGUGGGUAACCUGCCUUACACAGGGGGACAACAGUUGGAAACGACUGCUAAUACCGCAUAAAAUGGCAGCACUGCAUGGUGCAACCAUCAAAGAAAUUCGGUGUAAGAUGGACCCGCGUCUGAUUAGCUUGUUGGUGGGGUAACGGCCUACCAAGGCGACGAUCAGUAGCCGACCUGAGAGGGUGACCGGCCACAUUGGGACUGAGACACGGCCCAAACUCCUACGGGAGGCAGCAGUGGGGAAUAUUGCACAAUGGGCGCAAGCCUGAUGCAGCGACGCCGCGUGAGCGAAGAAGUAUUUCGGUAUGUAAAGCUCUAUCAGCAGGGAAGAAAAUGACGGUACCUGACUAAAAAAGCCCGGCUAACUACGUGCCAGCAGCCGCGGGAAAUACGUAGGGGGCAAGCGGUUAUCCGGAUUUACUGGGGGGAAAAGGGAAGCGUAAACGGGCUGGCAAGUCUGAAAGUGAAAACCCCGGGGCUCCACCCCCGGAACUGCUUUGGAAACUUCCUUGCUGGAGUACAGGAGGGGUUAGCGGAAUUCCUAAGGUUAGCGGUGAAAUUGCUUAGAUAUUAGGAGGGACCCCGGUGGGGAAGGCGGCUUACUGGAACUGUAACUGACUUUGAGGCUCGAAAGCGUGGGGAGCAAACAGGAUUAGAUACCCGGGUAGUCCACGCCGUAAACGAUGAAUACUAGGUGUCGGGGCACAAAAGUGCUUCGGUGUCGGCGCAAACGCAUUAAGUAUUCCACCUGGGGAGUACGUUCGCAAGAAUGAAACUCAAAGGAAUUGACGGGGACCCGCACAAGCGGUGGAGCAUGUGGUUUAAUUUGAAGCAACGCGAAGAACCUUACCAAGUCUUGACAUCCCGGUGACCGGUCAGUAAUGUGACCUUUUCUUCGGAACACCGGAGACAGGUGGUGCAUGGUUGUCGUCAGCUCGUGUCGUGAGAUGUUGGGUUAAGUCCCGUAACGAGCGCAACCCCUGUCCUUAGUAGCCAGCAGUAAGAUGGGCACUCUAGGGAGACCGCCGGGGAUAACCCGGAGGAAGGUGGGGAUGACGUCAAAUCAUCAUGCCCCUUAUGAUUUGGGCUACACACGUGCUACAAUGGCGUAAACAAAGGGAAGCAGAGUCGCGAGGCCGAGCAAAUCCCAAAAAUAACGUCCCAGUUCGGAUUGUAGUCUGCAACUCGACUACAUGAAGCUGGAAUCGCUAGUGAUCCCAAAGCAGAAUGUCGCGGUGAAUACGUUCCCGGG
This 1349-nucleotide ribosomal RNA is filed under the name uncultured bacterium. RNAcentral describes it as "bacterial SSU rRNA". It matches the Rfam family "Bacterial small subunit ribosomal RNA", at positions 38 to 1378 of the family's 1533-position model. The record is from RNAcentral.